UGGUGGAGUGAUUUGUCUGGUUAAUUCCGUUAACGAACGAGACCUCCGCCUACUAAAUAGUUUGAAUUAUCUAUUUGAUAGUUUCUAACUUCUUAGAGGGACUUUUGGUCGAUUAGCCAAAGGAAGUUGGAGGCAAUAACA
RNAcentral lists this ribosomal RNA (141 nucleotides) under uncultured eukaryote. Its description in RNAcentral is "partial 18S ribosomal RNA". It matches the Rfam family "Eukaryotic small subunit ribosomal RNA", at positions 1299 to 1458 of the family's 1831-position model. The record is from RNAcentral.